RNAcentral lists this ribosomal RNA (253 nucleotides) under uncultured bacterium. RNAcentral's name for it is "partial 16S ribosomal RNA". It matches the Rfam family "Bacterial small subunit ribosomal RNA", at positions 524 to 776 of the family's 1533-position model. The record is from RNAcentral.
UACGUAGGUGGCAAGCGUUAUCCGGAUUUACUGGGUGUAAAGGGCGCGUAGGCGGGGAUGCAAGUCAGAUGUGAAAUCUAUGGGCUUAACCCAUAAACUGCAUUUGAAACUGUAUCUCUUGAGUGCUGGAGAGGUAGACGGAAUUCCUUGUGUAGCGGUGAAAUGCGUAGAUAUAAGGAAGAACACCAGUGGCGAAGGCGGUCUACUGGACAGUAACUGACGCUGAGGCGCGAGAGCGUGGGGAGCAAACAGG